Molecule: long non-coding RNA, 8216 nt
Organism: Pongo pygmaeus (Bornean orangutan)
Lineage: Eukaryota; Metazoa; Chordata; Mammalia; Primates; Hominidae
Exons: 3
Source: RefSeq, a predicted model, not a curated record
GUUCCCCACUUCCUACUUAGGCUUUUAGGAAUGCAAAUAUAGCCUUUUACCUCCCUAUUACCGGACUCUCCCUAUGGUGCAAGUUCAUCUAACUACAUGCUCAAACUGGAAAGUCAACUUGAGAAUUAACAGUUGAUUUAUAAACCAAGCAUGCCCACUGUGGGAACUCUCACUCUUUAGGGGGUUGUCUCAAGAGAUAACAGCCUGCCCAUGAAGGUGCCAGCAGUCACAAGCUGAUUGCCCAGUAGAUAAGGCACAAGAGCUAGCAUGGACCCCCCGACCACCCUUGCUCACUUCCUCCCCUGCCUUUUAAAAGUGAAGCCAUAUGGAGGACACCUGCAUUUCUUCCCCUAAGCUAGUUUUGGAAAUAAAUUACUUUCUUCAUACCAGACUUCACUUUUGUUAAUUGGAUUCUGCGAGCAACAAGCAACUAACCUGCAUUUUGGUUACAUUACCAUGUUUUAGGUGGGACAAACUUCUAAUAUUUCAAAUGUAACACAAAUAUCAAACCAGAAAGGACUUUAUUUAGGAACCAAACCCAGUCUGCCAUAGUGGCAAAAGGGCAGAACCUUAGCUACUGAACUACAGCAUGGGGCAAUCACUAUUGCUCUUUCAGUUCGGCUUGGCUAGCAAAGGGUUGUUUUGUUAUGUAAAUAAAGCCCUUCAGGUAACUGAAAUCUUUCUUGUUUUGAUGGCUGAUUUGUCUUUUUUUGUCUUUUUUUUCCCAGCUUCAGGAAUUUAGCCAGUUCAGAGGUCUUGUUCCCCAUAAUUUAGAACUUUCCUUCAGGUUUGACCAAAUCAACUAGAGUGGUCAAACCCAAUGGAAAAAAGACUAAAACAACAAAAACAGAACCAAACAAAUAAACAACAACAAAAAAGUAAAGCAAAACAAAUGAUUGCACAAUUUAUAAGAUUACUGAGCACUCUAAUGGUAAGGAGAAAUCAAGACCAGCUGGUAGUUUAAUCUUAACUUUCAGUCAUUAAGGAGAAUUUCCAAGACAAACUCCAUUUCAGCUACUUAUGUAGGAAUAAGGCCCAGGUUGAAGACUGCUCUCUAUCAUCCUAGAAGCAGGAAAAAAACUCAAAACUCAUCUUCCCUGUUGGAAGCAAGCUGAAAUUCCAGAAAGUAGUUGCUUGCUUUCCAUUAUCAUGGAUUCAGAAAAACUCAUCUUUGUUGCAUGCAAGUAAAACUCCAGAAAAGGAGUUGAACAGCAAAAGAAACCUUAGAUCUCAACAACAUUUUGAGAAAUCAGGGAUUCUCUGGAGAUGGUACCUCCCAGGCCUCAGCAAAUUGUCCUGUUGGUUUUGUUACUGGCAGCAAAUCCAUACGGGUCUGCAGCAAUCUCAAUUCUUGCCUUCUCAGAAGAAAGAAUUCGACUGAGGGGCAUACGGCAGAGUGAAAGAUUGAGGCAAGUUUUAGAGCCAAGAGUAAAAGUGUAUUAGAAAGCUUUAGAGCUGGAACUGAAGAAAGUAAAGUCCACUUGAAAGAGGGCCAAGUGGGUGACUUGAGAGAUCAAGUUCAUGGUUUGAUCUUUGACUUGGGGUUUCAUACAUUGGCAUGCCUCUCGGGGCGGGGGUGUGGUUUGCAUCCCUUCUCCCUUGAUUUUUCCGUUGCGGUGGGCUGUCCACGUGCACAGUGGCCUGCCAGCACUUGGAAGGGGCAACAUACACAUUGUGUUUACCAAAAUUGUACACACGCUCACUUAAGGCAUUCGUCCCUUACCAGCCAAGUGUUCCUGGAGAAAGGUUAUAUACUGGUUCAACUCUGCCAUUUUGCCUGUUAGUGCACAUGCUUAAGUCCACUAGCCCAACUCCUGAGAUCUUAUUGGGAAGCUGCUGAUUACCAACUUGAGGUGUUUUUAUUGGGAGGCUGCCUUUCCCUGGCACCAGCUGCAACCAAUUAUUAUUUUCAAGAGGCAGUUUAACAACCUCCUGACCAUCAUCUGAUGGUUGCCUGACAUUCCUGGGCUACGUUCCUUCUCCUGCCCUAUUCAUGUCUGACUAAUUACCUAUUGUAACAGUUUGAACAAUAAAGAUAGCUCAAGGCCAGACAUGGUGGUUCAUGCCUGUAAUCCCCGCACUUUGGGAGGCCUUGCAAGGCCAGAGGAUUGCUUGAGCCCAGGAGUUCAAGACCAGCCUGGGCAACAAGGCAAAACCCUGUCUCUAUGAAAAUUACAAAAAUUAGCCAGGUGUGGUGGCACAAACCUGUAGUCCCAGCUACUCAGGAGGCUGAGGUGGAAGGAUCACCUGAGCCCAGGAGGUGGAGGCUACAGUGAGCAGUGAUUGUGCCACUGCACUUCAACCUGGGUGACAGAGUGAGACACUGUCUCAAAAUUAAAACAGAUAAAUUAAAAAUAUAGCUCAUACUGGUACCAUGCACCAAUAGAUUUGUCAAAGGUCAGGGCCACCUUCACUCAGAGUCUCUUCCAUUGGUUGCCAACUUGUAAACGAAAAAGUAUGUAAGAUAGGUCUCAGUCAGUUUAGAAUUUUCAUUUUGCCAAGGUUAAGGAUGCACCCAGGAAACAGGUAUAUGUGCCUUUCUCAAAGAUGAUUGUGAGGGCUUCAAUAUUUAAAGGUGAGAAGUGGGCUGGAGGGGAAAGAGGGUGUGGUUAUCCACAUGUUGCAAGAGAAAAGGAGCAGGCAGGAAAACAGUCAAUUAUGGAUUCAUCUCAUACUCAGUAAUAGGCCCUUUACAUAAGAUGAACAUAAGACUAGCUACCUGAGGAGCUAUUUAACCUUCUAUCUGUAGCUAUCUGCUGAGGAACAAAAGGAAAGACAGCUUUUUGCAUGACUCAGCUUUCAGGUUAAUUUUUUCCUUUUGGCAUAGUGAAUUGGAGUCCUGAGUUUUAUUUUCCUUUCCCACCUCAAACCCCACAAGCUUUGCAUUGUUGCAGAUUGUCCCUCUCAGAAUAUUUUACAAGUUGGUGAAGUGCCUAAUGAACAUUUCUUUUGUCAUAAAGUGAGUUUGGAUCCUGAAGAAGCCAUCAUCUUAAUCAGGCUUUGGGAUCAAAAUUCCCCUUCACCCGAACCCUGAACAGCACAGCAGACAGGGAAGGACUUACUGAGAUGGCUGCUCCCACUCUCCAGCCCCCACUUUCCAGACCAUUCCUGGCAGGAAGAGCUGCUGAGCAGACUCCAUGGGCUGCCCACACAGGGUCUGGACCUAGCUGUCUUCCUGUGCCCAGCAGCCUUUGAGCCAUCCCAGGCCCCUAUGUGCAGUGGUCAGCAUCCACAAGCCAGGCUUCAUAGGGAUUCAGUUCAUGGGUGUUGCCCUGAGCCCGGCACAGUGGCCUCCCCAGCUUAGCAUCUGCAGUUCGGGUCAGGGUGUUCUUAACAGCCCUCACCUAUGCCCUUUCUGGCCACACAUGAGUUUGGAUGAAGCAGGAGUCUCUUCCAUAGCUCCUUGUCAACUGAGAUGUCCAUGACUGGCUCAAGUGACCCACAGUGUCAGGAGAGGGGCACGGAAGCUGCACCCUAAAUUCCCUGGGACCUGUGGCAGGCCUCCCCGGUGACCUCUGCCUUCUCAGGUGACUUCUGCCCUCCUGGGUGACAUUAGUUCUCCCCUCUCAAGUGACCUCUGCCCUCCUAGGUUACCUCAGCUCUCCCAGGUGACCUCUGCCUUUCCAGAUGACUUCAGUCUUUUCAGGUGACCUCAGCCCUCCUAAGUGACAUUAGUCCUCCCUGGUUAUCUCUCCCCUCCCUGGUGAACUCAGGUCUUCCAGGGGACCUCUGCUUUCCCAGAUGAUCUCUGCCCUCUCAGAGGGCAUAUUCUCCUCCUAUUACCUCUCCCAAGUGACCUCUUCCCUUCCAAGUGACCUGUUUCCUCAGGUGACCUCAGCUCUGCCAGGGGACUUCUGCCUUUCCAGGUAACUUCUGCCCUCUUGGUGACCUAGUGUGCUCAGGUGACAUUAGCCCUCUCAGGUGACCUCAACCCUCCAAGGUGACGUCAGCCUUGGUGAAGUCUUUCCAGGAUGACUUUGGCUUUUGCCAGAGGUAGCAUAAGCCAUAUCACUGCAGGGGCAUAAGCCAUAUCAUGCCAUGAGCCACUAUCCUGCUCAUGUUCCAGAAUGAGGAGACAUCUGGGUGCUGGCCCAGCUGCUGGCCAAUGAGAGGCUUGCCAAGCAUGGUACUCUCCCAGGUGACCUCUGCCCUCUCAGGUGACACAGUCCUCCCAUGUGACAUUAGCUCACAGUGGACAGCUACCCACGAGGCAUCGCACAGCCAGGACAGGGGAUGGCCACACUGGCUGGGUAAUUGUGACUUACAGACAAGGCACCUUCUGUCCCCUGCUCAUUUUGAGCCUCCAGGAUAUCCCCUGCUGAGAGUCCCACAGGAGCCUGUGACUGGCCAGGGACCCAACACCCCAAGUCAGAUGCCUCUCAUCCCCAUCAGCAAACGGGAUCACAGCUGCCCUGUGACCACCUUCUGCAUCCUGGUGCCACAACCUUCUGGCCCUGACCUUAUACAGGGGACUCUUACAACCCUGCUGGUCCUUCCACCUCCCAGCUGGCCACCCUCCCAACCACCCUCCCUGCCCAUGGCUAGACCAAGCCCAGAUGACAGCUUCUCUCUGUCCUGUGUCCCCUGCCCUGACCCCACAUCCAGGAGAAGGCCACACACCCUCCAGCACCCCUGGUCACCCCACCAGCUCCCACCUGUCCUCACUGCUUCAAAGGCAGGCCUGCCCUUCUGGAACCAUGGCCCAGGAAGCCACUAAGCAGUGCCUCCAGCCAGGCCCCAGGGGCGUUCCCAUCCACAUGAUGGGGUCACUGGAUGGGAGAGUGAAAGGCCUUGGGGUCUGGAAGCAACCACCACUGCCCAACUGCCACUGCCCAACCGCUGCUGCCCAACCGCUGCUGCCCAACUGCCACUGCCCAACUGCCACUGCCCAACCACUGCUGCCCAACCGCUGCUGCCCAACUGCCACUGCCCAACUGCCACUACUCAGCCUGAUGGCUCCACAUCUCAGGAGUAGUCUCUGAUUCCUUGGGGCCCCAGGAGCCUCUCAGGAGUCUACAUCCCAAGAUGUUCUAACUUCCAGAGUCUCCAAGCCCAUCAAGAGCAAGUUUUGCUAAAAGUGUUCUGAGAGCUUAUGAAGCACAUGGACAAGGAAGGGUUGUGCAUCCGGCUUUCCACCUUAAACUGGUUUCUAUGGUGCUUCAUCGAUGGGAUAAGGAUGCAUAGAGAGACCCCCGGCCAGGUACCUUCUUUCCCCACAGUGCUCAGCUCCCCCAGCCCAGGGGUCUGGCUUCCCCAGGAGGACCCAGCUCACCCCCACCCCACAGGAGGCACAGGCAGGUCUCUGCAGGGCACACAAGCCAGGACCUGUCUGAUAGGAGCAUCACACACCAGACACCAGGGAAUUCUGGGCAGACUGGGCCAGGACCCAUCUUGGAAGAGCCAGAGGAGCCAGGGAAGCCACAAGCCCUCAGGAAGCCCCUUAUUCUGGGAGCCACAUUUCUGCUGAGAUGAGUCCAUCCCCAUGAAGAGCUGCUGGACCUUGUCUGACCCAGCCUUAUGGAAGAUGGGGUGGGUCUCUUCCCAAGCAGAAGGAGCCUCAGGAAGUCCAGACUGAGGCUACAGUGGGCCCUGCUCAAGCCACCAGCCCCCAGGCUGGAAAGGCCAGGUCCUCCCAAACCUGCUGUUCCCACAGACUUCCUUCAUGCUCAUCCUGAGGCUCUGGGAUGUCUACCUCCUGGAAGGAGUUUCUUCAGGACACACUGUCCUAGGCCUGGGCCCUGGAGGAAGAUGUGGUGAUGAGGCGCCCUGAGGCCUCCAUGGGGGAGCUGAGAAGCAUGCACUGUGACCUGCACACCCAGGUGGGCUUCAGCGCCAAGUCUUCUCCUGUGUCACCCUGUGGGGCAGUAAAUAGUGGGAAGUGCCCAGACCUCACCAGCCCUGCUCCCUGGGCCUUCCUCCAGCCCCUCCUCUCCCUCCUCCUCUAAGAAGCUUCUGAAAACAGGCUGCCUGGGCCUAGGGCAAAAGCUGACCUUGGGUUUACUGGACAUGCCUCAAAGACAGUGAGAUGUGAGCAAGACUCUUCCAAGCCCCUCCCCUGUACCCUCCUGCUCUCACUCCUGAAAGUCCCAGAAGGACACUGGAGGGGUCAUAUCCAUCUGUGCAAGCCCACAACCACACCUGUGAGUACCAGCAGCCCUGGAGAGCAGCAGGGGCCCUUCACUCCUGAGCACCCCUCCAAGGGCCUAAAAUCAGUGUCAGAGACCCUAAGAGGAUCUAGGGAGAGGGUAUAGGUGAAACCCUGGCCCAGAGCCAGAAUUGAUUGCUCAGCUGAGUGUGGGAACAGUCCAGCCCUGGCAUGGAGAUCCCCCAGAGGAGUGGAGGGUGUCUCACCCACUGUGGAGAUAAGCCCCCAUAUUGGGCGGCAAAGGGGCUAGGUAACAGUUAAGGCCCCAUCCAUCUGAGCUCUGAGUCAAGGCUAAAGCCCAGGCUAAGCAGCCCUGGGGCAAGAGUGUGAGGCAGGAAGACUGAGUCAGCCUGAACCCUGGGGGCUGUCCCUGGAGUGACUUGAGCUUCCCUGACAGCUUCCCCACUCUAGGCUGCACACACACCUCGCUCUGGGAGUAGCAGCCUGCAGGAGUGUCCUCAGCAUUAGACCAGGGGGACCACACGGGGACCCUGAGGACUGCAGGGACCCAGGUCUGUGGGAUCCAGACUGGCAAAAGCAAGAUGUUCUCAAUGGAAAAGCUGACCAAAUCUGCUUUCCUUUCAGCCAAACCUGAGCAAGACCCCCAGCACCCAGGCCUCUGCAGAUAUCCCCCAGCAUUGAGACCCUCCCCAAGGGGAUGGGCUGGUUCUCCCUGGCCCACAGCCCAGCUCCAGCAGCCCAUGGGUGUAGCCCUCCUGAAACAGGAGCCUCAUCCUCCCUUACCCUCACCUGGCUAUGCUGUACCCAAGGCCAAAGCCCAGAGGCAUAAGGGAGCUUCUGCAGAGCCCAGGACAGCAGGCUGCUCUCUGGGGGCCCUGGGAACUCAGAGUGUGGCCAGCCCAUCCCCAGCUCAGGAUAGACCACAGGGUGCUUGGUGAUUCCUGCAUUGGAACGCCCUCUCUAAGCUCCACAUGGACCUGGACCUCAGAGGCCUGUGGUUUUCACAGUAGAGCUUGGAGCAGAGAUGCUAGGCCCCUGUCACUUCCAUAUCUGCCCUGGACACCUCUAAGACCAUAGGACUGGCCUAGCCCCCAAUACCAGACACUGCCCAGCCCCCUGAUAGCCCAGAGGUAGGGCCAGAGACAACUCUCCUGCAUGUGGUGGCUACAUCUGAUCACCCUUGGCAGACGGUGACCAUCAUGGCCCAGAAGGAGCCAGGGCAGCACUUAGCAAGCUGCCCCAAAGCCCCAGAGAGCUCCUUAGACAUGGAAAAGCAAUAUUGAUGGGGAAGCUGGACACUUGGAGGCCACUGGAGGGAAGGGUGAGCAUGGCGUCCCCACAGCCCAGGCCAGCCAGCAGCAUGCACUGCAUCCAUGGUCCCAACCUGUAGGGCAGAACCCCCCUCUCAACACACAAUUCCCAGACCCAGAGGGCCCUAGCCCAGACUCAACCUGAGCCCUGAAAGGGAAGGGGGACCAGGGGUGCCUUGGGCCCCCAGCAGCAGCCAAGAUACACAGGAGAUGGAGCCCCCCGUGGCCGUGGCCAGAACUAGUAUUUGGCUUUAGCGGAGCAAGCCCCCUUGGAGCGCUGCGUACAUACCCAGGCCCUAUGUGUGCCUGGCAAGGCCAAGCUGAUGAUGUUACCAAGCUCAAACUACCACUGGCCACCUUGGUGAGGGUGGGGCAGAAACACGUGGACCAGCCACCAACCUCAUCCAUUCAAGGAAGCAGAAAUGGCCAGGAUCCUGCAGGAUAAGUGGCCACCACCAGACCACCAGUGGGGCGGAGUUCUGAGGCCCAAGCAGAUGGCACUGGGGCCCUGCUUCCAGGGUCCACAAUCUGCUCCAGGACACAAGACUGAAGAAAACUAAGCAAAUGAGAGUCCAGGAGGCUGGAACCCUCAUCUGCCAUUCUUGGCAGUUGUAUUUUGUGGUCAGAAAAAGUCAGGAAACUUGGCGCUACUCACUACAGGAGGCUCCAAGGUGGGACCAGAGCUUCCAGCAUAGAUUCAACAAUGCCUAAGAAAGCCUCUUCUGGGGGAAAAGGACCCCUUCCUUGGCCUCAAAGCCCCCACUUAUUUUGAUUAAAGCACAAUAAAGUCUUUGUUGUUA